Molecule: long non-coding RNA, 1724 nt
Organism: Gasterosteus aculeatus aculeatus (three-spined stickleback)
Lineage: Eukaryota; Metazoa; Chordata; Actinopteri; Perciformes; Gasterosteidae
Source: Ensembl
UGACGAUGCAUUAUUAAAAGUACACCACUCAGCAGCAAGUGAUUAAAAUCAGCAUUCAACAAAUGUAGGAAUGAAUGCAUCAAUAAUUAUAAUCCAGUGAUAUAAUCACUAUUAUUCUGCAUGAAAAGUGCUUUUUAUUUUAGUUCUGUGAAGCUGCUACUUUGACACAUGAUUAAAAACAUGUUCUAUAAUCAAAACAAAAGCAAUGAAAACUCUCCAAAAGGUCUGUUUAGUGGCGGCUCUGGUGCUUUUGCUUAUGAAUAAUUAAACUGUAUUUAUUCAUAACGCAGCUUUAAAGAAUUCAAAUGAUCGUCAUAUAUUUUACAAGAAUCGAUGCAGUGUUUCACAUGUUUACGUUUUUUUUGUUCUUUUUAUUCUGUUUACUUGGUUUUAAGGUCAAGAACCAACUCGUGAACCACAUUUAAUUAAACUGAGUUUAUCAACAUGCUGUUUAUUACUUUUUGUCACUUAUCACUGUUAAUAACAUUUUGAACAGAUCUCAAGGCAGAAUCCUGCACUUUUUAUUGUAAAUACAUUGUUCAUAUAUUUCUGUGAGCUCUUUUUAAGUUGCUUGUUUUUCCCUCCACGUUAAAUCCCGUCCGAGUUCAUUUUCCAGCUGCAGUUUCCAUCCGGGGGGAAAUAUCGGCGUCCUCACCUGCUGAUGUCUUCAUGCGGGUGAUGUUACAGUCUCACAGCGACAGGAGCAGCAGAAGAAGAAAUAUGUUUACUGCACUUUAGCGGAGGUAGAAGAAGUUGAUCGAUUCUCGGGUGAGAAGUUAUCUCAGGAAAGAACCAACGAGAUUACCUUCAGAACACCUGCAAGGUGUGGAAGUAAACUGGAAAACCGUAGACAACACCUGGUGAACCGCGGCGCCGGGGGAGAGCGCCGGGCUCUCCGGCAACGCCUGUGUGUCCUGGGGGAGGCCGAACAAGAGUCGACAAGGACACCCAACACUCAAGUGUCUUGUGGACGACUGGGUGUCAGUCUGAUAGUUGUGAACAUCUGGGAAUCUGCUGACGUCUAUAUGGAGACACCUGCUUAUCAAUUGGACACCUGGACUGGCUGGACAUCCCUCCACCUUUGGUAAUCCGGGGGAACGUAACGAGUCUUCCUUUCUCUCCCAGUCUUCAUCAUCAAGCACCAAGAGUUUGCAUCGUUACAAUCUUCCUCCUCGGCGGCGGCGAGCACUCCCACCGGGGCUUCUGGGUAGCCAUCGGCGAGGGGGGGUCAACGAGGCAAACGGAGCGGUGGUGGAGCAGUCCGGUUCGGUCGGGUCUGACCCGGAUCAAAGAGAGGGAAGCUGUUCCCUGAUGGUUCACCUGCUUUAACCGGUGUUGGUGUGAUCUGAACCAAAGAGAAGAAAAGGAGCCGCUUUAUUAUUCAGAAGCUAAAUUAAUGCGCUGUGAGAGCGGAGCUGCAGCGCUGCGAGCUGAGGGUCAAAUACAUGCAAAUAUUAGCAUGUUGGGAUGCUCUUUAAACACUCCACCGUGCACGUGUGUGUGUGUGUUACGUAACGGGUGUGUUUGGAUUUAAUUAGCUCCCUACUUACAGUCUGAUAUUGGCUAAUGAAGCAGCAGAGUGUCCGUCGGUGAUGAAUGGGAGGCGUCAUCUUAAAACAUGAUAAAUCGGACUCGGCCCCUCUGGACAUCAAAAAACACGAAGCCGCCGGAGUGUGGGAUCAUGGGUAAAUGAGACCUGCAUGUUCCCCUCAGCGGGAAGGCGG